GGAGAGAUGGCUCAGUGGUUAAGAGCACUGAUUGCUGUUCCAGAAGUUCUGAGUUCAAUUCCCAGCAACUACA
Molecule: transfer RNA, 73 nt
Filed under: Mus musculus (house mouse)
Lineage: Eukaryota; Metazoa; Chordata; Mammalia; Rodentia; Muridae
Description: tRNA-Ser
Source: RNAcentral